RNAcentral lists this long non-coding RNA (224 nucleotides) under Elaeis guineensis (African oil palm). Its description in RNAcentral is "long non-coding RNA (EGUI_LNC025111)". The record is from RNAcentral. Lineage: Eukaryota; Viridiplantae; Streptophyta; Magnoliopsida; Arecales; Arecaceae.
CUCUAUUUUUUGAAAAAAAUUAUUAUAUCCUAUGUAUAUUAUGAUAUCCUACGUUAUAUUAUGACAUUCUGUGUACAAAAAUUAUGAUUUUUGGACGCUGGACAUAGGAUGUCAUAAUUUUUUUAAAAAUAAAAAUAUUUUUAUAAUUUAAAAUUUUAAAUAAAAAUAAAAUUAUAAAUAUUAAAUAUAUAUUAAAAAAAUGAUAGUUACGUAAAUCAAUGGGA